AAGCCAUGCAUGUCUAAGUAUUAGCAAUUAUACAGCGAAACUGCGAAUGGCUCAUAAAUCAGUAUCGUUUAUUGAUAGUACCUUACUACUUGGAUAACCGUGGUAAUUCUAGAGCUAAUACAUGCUAAAAAUCCCGACUCACGAAGGGAUGUAUUUAUUAGAUUAAAAACCAAUGCCCUUCGGGGCUCUUUGGUGAUUCAUAAUAACUUUUCGAAUCGCAUGGCCUUGCGCCGGCGAUGGUUCAUUCAAAUUUCUGCCCUAUCAACUUUCGAUGGCAGGGUCUUGGCCUGCCAUGGUUACAACGGGUAACGGAGGGUUAGGGCUCGACCCCGGAGAAGGAGCCUGAGAAACGGCUACUACAUCCAAGGAAGGCAGCAGGCGCGCAAAUUACCCAAUCCCGAUUCGGGGAGGUAGUGACAAUAAAUACUGAUACAGGGCUCUUUUGGGUCUUGUAAUUGGAAUGAGUACAAUUUAAAUCCCUUAACGAGGAACAAUUGGAGGGCAAGUCUGGUGCCAGCAGCCGCGGUAAUUCCAGCUCCAAUAGCGUAUAUUAAAGUUGUUGCAGUUAAAAAGCUCGUAGUUGAACCUUGGGCCUGGCUGGCCGGUCCGCCUCACCGCGUGCACUGGUUCGGCCGGGCCUUUCCCUCUGGGGAACCCUAUGGUCUUCACUGAUCGUAGCGGGGAACCAGGACUUUUACUGUGAAAAAAUUAGAGUGUUCAAAGCAGGCCUAUGCUCGAAUACAUUAGCAUGGAAUAAUAAAAUAGGACGUGUGGUUCUAUUUUGUUGGUUUCUAGGACCGCCGUAAUGAUUAAUAGGGACAGUCGGGGGCAUCAGUAUUCAAUUGUCAGAGGUGAAAUUCUUGGAUUUAUUGAAGACUAACUACUGCGAAAGCAUUUGCCAAGGAUGUUUUCAUUAAUCAGGAACGAAAGUUAGGGGAUCGAAGACGAUCAGAUACCGUCGUAGUCUUAACCAUAAACUAUGCCGACUAGGGAUCGGACGGUGUUAUUUUUUGACCCGUUCGGCACCUUACGAGAAAUCAAAGUCUUUGGGUCUG
Molecule: ribosomal RNA, 1055 nt
Filed under: Bartalinia robillardoides
Lineage: Eukaryota; Fungi; Ascomycota; Sordariomycetes; Amphisphaeriales; Sporocadaceae
Description: SSU rRNA
Rfam family: Eukaryotic small subunit ribosomal RNA
Source: RNAcentral